Molecule: ribosomal RNA, 468 nt
Filed under: uncultured bacterium
Lineage: Bacteria
Description: partial 16S ribosomal RNA
Rfam family: Bacterial small subunit ribosomal RNA
Source: RNAcentral
GACGAACGCUGGCGGCGUGCUUAACACAUGCAAGUCGAACGGAAAGGCCCUGCUUUGUGGGGGUGCUCGAGUUGCGAACUGGUGAGUAACACGUGAGUAACCUGCCCUUCACUGUGGGAGAACUUCAGGAAACUUGGGCUAAUACCGGAUAGGAUCUCCUGCUGCAUGGUGGGGGUGGGAUAGUUUCGGCGGCUGGUGAUGGACUAGCCGCUUAUCAGCUUGUUGGUUGGGUAGUGUCUUACCAAGGCUUUGAGAGGUAGCAGGCCUGAGAGGGUGACCGGCCAAACUGGGACUGAGAUAAGGCCCAGACUCCUACGGGAGGCAGGGGUGGAGAAUAUUACACAAGGGGCGGAAGGCAAGUGUAAUAAAGCAGUGUGGGGGAUGAGAGGAAGGGGGUAGUGAUCCGAAGCCGUCUGUGACGAGAUGAGAGUGACAGUAAUGGGAAAAGAAGCUCCGGCUAACUACGUG